CCGCCGCCUGAGGGAAGCCAACGGGAUGUUGUUACGGAACCAGCGGAUCUAGAGCAACCCCGGAAGUGAAAAGGAACUGAGGGAAAGGAGGAAAAGGCGGUGACAGCGGCAACUAAAUCCUAGCUACGGGGGCCGCGGAAGUCCAAUUGCAGCCGCCUAGCGGCAUGAGCGCCCUCGCGAGGCUGAGACGGGCGGAAGCAAGCUGUGGUGGCCACUGCUGUGGAGAAGCAGAACAGCUAAGAUCUGGGUUGGAGGGUGCGCCCGCUAGCUUCAGCUCAGAGUAGGCUGGAACAAGGCUUGGUCUAGUUUCACUGUUGCGGCUGCUGAGUCCGCCGCAGUGCGAACCAGUCCUGGGACCAGCAGGCGAACUCUCCGAAGUCUAGGAUUCGAUCUGUUUCUUUUCGAGAAUGUUUGUUUAUAUAAGGGAUUAAGUUGAUGUGUCCCUGAAUCACCUCGGAUGAAGCCUACUUGAUCUUGAUGGAUGAUGUCUUUGAUGUGUUUCUCUCUAUGAAGUCAGGACAAGCAAAAAUCAUCAAAGAAAGCAUGGUGAACCGAAGAAAACGCAAUGAAGACCAGCCUCGGCGAAGCACAAGACCAGCAUAGAGAGCCAGUAUCCGAGCAUUGUUCAUGGUCUGUUGGGUUAUACUUACAAUCUGUCCAAACAUCACAUACCCUUUCAUCAGACAGCGUCCAGAAAAACACCAUGUGUCUGCUUCAGCAAAACAUCCUGUCAUAAGACAGCGUCCAGAAAAACACAAGACACAACUGAGUCUCCAAGGAAACCAGAAAUCCCCACUUCGAGGAGUGACAUUAUUAGGAAGUGUAGCCUUAUUGGAGGAAGUAUGUCCUGUGGGUGGGCUUCGAGAUGGCGCAUGCUCAAACCAGGCCCAGUGUUUUACUCUUUUUCCCUGCUGCCUGCCAAUUCAGAUGUAGAACUCUCAGCUCCUCUCCAGUACCAUGUCCGCCUGGAUGCUGCCAUCUUUCUCAGUGUGAUGAGAAUGGACUAAACCUCUUAAGCUGUAAGCAGCCCCAAUUAAAUGUUUUACUUUAUAAAACUGUGGUUAUAGUGUCUCUUUACAGCAAUAGAAACCCUGAGGUAGAAGUUGAUAUCAGGAAAUGAGGUAUUGCUGUGAUAGGGUGGUCCACGUUUUUGUUUGAAUAAAUGUGGAACAUUUUGGGAAUCUGGACUAGAAAAGCGAUUGGACUUUCUAAACAAGGCUUAAUGGGCCAUCCUAGUAGGAGCUUAGAAAAGAGUGGUGAUGAGUGUGAUUUGCACUGUGGGGCCCAGCUCAAGAAGUUUCAGAGAAGGCACUUGCCAAGGAAAGCUGCUGAUGGGGCGUGGAAAGAGCCCAAGAGAAAGACGUGUGUUAACAGCCAACGAAGCUGAAAGGAUUUGGAGAUUUUGAAGAGUGUUUGCGGUGAUCUCUUCACACAGUGUCUCUUCACAGCAAUAGACAUUGCUAAGACAACUUCCUUUUAAAGACAUGUCUUAAAAUCAUUUUAGUAAAUUCAAUUUGUUCUAACAUUUCUAGUUCUAAAAGAUGAAAGUUUUAAAGUUGCCCCCCUAGACACAAAGUUUAGAGCAGAAAACAAACAAACAAACAAACAGGUUAGGCCCCAGAAUUAUAUGUUCCAAGAAGCCUCUCCUAGGGCUAUAGAAUAAUUACAUUGGCCAGCUCAACAGCUUUCUCCCAGAAACUAGCUGACCAUAAAUCUGAGAGAACAAUCUUGAGAAGCAGGAAACAACUUCUCCUAGGAACUAUCGGACCAUGAAGUUAAACAAUCUGAGAAGUAGGAGACAGCUUCUCCUAGGAAACAAUCUUGGGGGACAGAGAGUUCUUCCUUGUGAUUUUUCACUGUUAUUCUACACACUUUCCAAUGACGCCAUCCCUGCCCCCUCGGGUUGUGGUUUCUCCCUUUAAAUACCUCUUCUCCCAGCCUCUCGGGGUCGAACUCCACUGCCCCUGCGUGGGAUACGAGUCUCGACCCCAGUGCACUGGUUGCUAUCGAUAAACCUCAUGUGAUUACAACAA
Rattus norvegicus (Norway rat) is the source of this 2033-nucleotide long non-coding RNA. RefSeq lists it as uncharacterized. Lineage: Eukaryota; Metazoa; Chordata; Mammalia; Rodentia; Muridae. The record is from RefSeq and is a predicted model, not a curated record.